This 497-nucleotide ribosomal RNA is filed under the name uncultured bacterium. RNAcentral describes it as "partial 16S ribosomal RNA". It matches the Rfam family "Bacterial small subunit ribosomal RNA", at positions 28 to 507 of the family's 1533-position model. The record is from RNAcentral.
GAUGAACGCUGGCGGCGUGCCUAAUACAUGCAAGUCGAGCGAACGGACGAGAAGCUUGCUUCUCUGAUGUUAGCGGCGGACGGGUGAGUAACACGUGGAUAACCUACCUAUAAGACUGGGAUAACUUCGGGAAACCGGAGCUAAUACCGGAUAAUAUUUUGAACCGCAUGGUUCAAAAGUGAAAGACGGUCUUGCUGUCACUUAUAGAUGGAUCCGCGCUGCAUUAGCUAGUUGGUAAGGUAACGGCUUACCAAGGCAACGAUGCAUAGCCGACCUGAGAGGGUGAUCGGCCACACUGGAACUGAGACACGGUCCAGACUCCUACGGGAGGCAGCAGUAGGGAAUCUUCCGCAAUGGGCGAAAGCCUGACGGGGCAACGCCGCGUGAGUGAUGAAGGUCUUCGGAUCGUAAAACUCUGUUAUUAGGGUAGAACAUAUGUGUAAGUAACUGUGCACAUCUUGACGGUACCUAAUCAGAAAGCCACGGCUAACUACGUG